GCAAAUCUGUCACUCAGUGAUACGAUAUGGAGCAAUUCUUAUGUAUCAAAGAGGCCUGAUGAGAGGAAGAAUUUUGAUAUAAGAGUUGGAGGUGAAGUGAAUUCUGGUAUUAGUUCUAAGUCAAAAGAGUCUGAUUUGAACAAUGAUGGGUGGAAGAUAGCAUCUAAUGGUGGAGCUACCACCGAUUUGAAUGGAUUAAAUGAUGGGUGGAAGAUGUCAUCUAGCGGUGGAGCUACUACCGAUUUGAAUGGAUUAAAUGAUGGGUGGAAGAUGUCAUCUAGCGGUGGAGCUACUACCGAUUUGAAUGGAUUUAACGAUGGGUGGAAGAUAGGAUCUGGUGUUAACAGUUAUGGACUUGGUCCUAUUGGAAGUAUUGGUCGAGCUGUUGGCGGUGGAUCCCAGAAAAAUGUUGGGAUCAAUGGUGGGUUUAAUAAGGGGAUUUAUUCAAAGAGCAAUUAUAACAACAACAUCAAUGUUCAUGUGAAGGGCAAGAACAAGGGAGAGGACGAUCAUGGAGGCAAAAUUGUGAAGAAGAAUAGUAACAAGAAGAGCAAUGGUGAUAAUAAC
This 567-nucleotide long non-coding RNA is filed under the name Manihot esculenta (cassava). RNAcentral describes it as "long non-coding RNA (MESC_LNC000289)". Lineage: Eukaryota; Viridiplantae; Streptophyta; Magnoliopsida; Malpighiales; Euphorbiaceae. The record is from RNAcentral.